GACGAACGCUGGCGGCGUGCUUAACACAUGCAAGUCGAACGGAAAGGCCCUGCUUUUGUGGGGUGCUCGAGUGGCGAACGGGUGAGUAACACGUGAGUAACCUGCCCUUGACUUUGGGAUAACUUCAGGAAACUGGGGCUAAUACCGGAUAGGAGCUCCUGCUGCAUGGUGGGGGUUGGAAAGUUUCGGCGGUUGGGGAUGGACUCGCGGCUUAUCAGCUUGUUGGUGGGGUAGUGGCUUACCAAGGCUUUGACGGGUAGCCGGCCUGAGAGGGUGACCGGCCACAUUGGGACGGAGAUACGGCCCAGACUCCUACGGGAGGAAGAAGUGGGGAAUAUUGCAAAAGGGGCGGAAGCCUGAGGCAGCAACGCCGCGUGCGGGAUGACGGCCUUCGGGUUGUAAACCGCUUUCGCCUGUGACGAAGCGUGAGUGACGGUAAUGGGUAAAGAAGCACCGGCUAACUACGUG
RNAcentral lists this ribosomal RNA (468 nucleotides) under uncultured bacterium. RNAcentral describes it as "partial 16S ribosomal RNA". It matches the Rfam family "Bacterial small subunit ribosomal RNA", at positions 28 to 507 of the family's 1533-position model. The record is from RNAcentral.